UGGUGAUGGUGGUACUGAUUGAUGUUAAGUGGAUAGUAAUGAUGGUGUUGAUAGUUGUGAUGGUGGAGGUGGUUGGUGUUGUAAUGGUUGUCAAUUACCAAGUCAUGAGCCUCUAAAGAAAGAUAAAAUCGCUAAGUACAUAGAGCCUUCGGGGCAUAUAUUGGAAUACUGAAACAAUUGAAUAUGACUAAUAAGGAUAAAAUCCCCCACCGAACGAAUAGCAGAAGAAUGUUGAAUAUGGAUGCUGAGUCCAGCUGGUGGUACCAACCUCAAUCUUCAUCCAGAAAGGAAGAGUAGGCUCUCAUUAACUAUCCUAAAUGGUGCUGCAGGACAUAGUGAGGUAAAUAUGAAAUGCAGUAAAACAUAUAUGUAACAUUGGUUAUCAAAAAAAAAAAACAUAUAUGUAACAUUUCACAGUCUGAAACUAUAACUGGUACUUCUAUUGAAAUUUGUAACUGAAACUAAUAACUGGACUGAAACCGAACUGACAGUUAUUCUUGAAACCUUAUUUUAUCAGGAAAUAUUCUAUUAUGAUAAGUUACGAAUAAUGAACUUGCAUGUGUGUGACUGGUGCUACGUAUGGGGAGGGCCAACUUAGCUUACGAGCAAGAAUGGGGUAGCUAACAACUCGCCGCUUUGGCACUCAUGCUCGGGGAAGUGGUAACUUCGCCCAGCUGAAUGUGAUCAGAUUAAUGUACUGAAACUGGAUGCAGGAAUUACACAAAAUGCACAAAUUAAGACAAUCAAGUAAUUUUAUUCACACAGAAGUACUUCAACAUAAUGCAAUUAUUUAUCUGAAAACUGUGCUAGGAUAGAAUACGGAGAGUUAAGCACUCUGCUUGUCCCCUAAGAACUUAACCUCAAAACUUCUUUCAAACACUUGGUAGACAUGCUUUUGUCAAUAAUCCAUUUAGGAAGGUAGCCUUAACGUACCUCAACUUUCGACUGAAACUUGCGUUUUUAACUUCCCAGAUAUCCGUCAAAUGCCGAAAUCUACAACCAUCAGGCCUGAACACAUCAACACAAGAUAGUUCAAUAUUUCUUGAAAAUCUCAAAUUUUCAUGCUAGGGUUGCGUUUUAAUCAAUUUAAGUCUGAAGUUAUCCACUAGAAUUAUUCCAUCAAAUUUUGACUAAUUCCUAAUUUCCUAUUUCCAUUCAUGGCUUCUUUCAGUUCCACAAGUAAACUACUACAAAAAAUAUUGAGCUUUAUGAUUUCAUACUAUCCCAAUAAUACCAAUUUGUCAGUUCAAGAUAGUGGGUUUACUUUUGGAAGCAAUUCCUCAAACCCUACCCUUUAACUUAAAGGGUUCUUGUUGACAUUUCCGGUAAUGUAACUAUUCAUAAGUUAAACUAGUGUUAAUUGACCCAAAUUAACUCAAACUCUGCUGGAAUUAUUACCUUGGAUAAUGUAAGUAAGCAGUUUGUUUUUGCCUUCAAAAGCUCUUUAAAUGCUGAAGAAGUGGGUUUUUUCUCCCUCUAACUGACCGUAUUUAUACUUUCUGAUUGACGGACACGCUGAAAACAAGUCUGAGUUUUCGCCCCCAUGGAGCGCCGGUUCCUGCCGCCUUGGCCAAUCAAACACACUCUCCUAUCCUCUCUCAUUCCCUUGGCUCACCCUUCUCUCUGUGUAUAUGUAUUUUAGA
Molecule: long non-coding RNA, 1643 nt
Filed under: Solanum tuberosum (potato)
Lineage: Eukaryota; Viridiplantae; Streptophyta; Magnoliopsida; Solanales; Solanaceae
Description: long non-coding RNA (STUB_LNC003010)
Source: RNAcentral